AUGACAGUACCCAGUAGGAGACUCAGAUGAAGUCAUGUUGGUGUGCUUGACAUUAUGAAUGAUGAGGAUCCCUCAGAAACUAAAGGAGAAUCAAUUACCCCUUUCACCUCUUCCCUGAAAAGUAGUUAAAAAAAUUACACACUUGCAUCAGACAGGCUGAAAAGAAAACUUUUAAAAAAUGGUGUUAGUGAAGUUUUUCUUCAACAAUGUGGAAAAGGGCAUCUACAGCCAGACAGGAAUUGGUGGAAUCAUCUGGAAAAUAAAAUGCUGAAAGAUAUUUACUCUCCAAGAUGUGGAAAUGAAGAGCUACAGCCAGACAGGAAUUGGUGGAAACAAGUGGAAAAGAGAAGACUGAUUGACAUCGACUCUCCAGGACGUGGAAAUGAGCAGGUACAGUGAGACAGGAAUUGGUGGAAACAAUUGGAAAAGAGAAGACUGAUAGACUUUGUCCCUCCAGGAUGUGGAAAUGAGCAGCUACAGCAAGACAGGAAUUGGUGGAAACAAGUGAUAAAGACGACACUGACGGAUGUCGACCUUCCCAACAGCAAGAACAUAACACAAUGGAUACCUGUCACUGAUCAGAGACUAUGUUGACCCUCCAAGAUGUGGAAAGGAGCAGCUACAGCCAGAGAGGAAUUGGUGGAAUCAUCUGGAAAAUGUAAUGUUGGACCUUAACCCUCCAAGAUGUGGAAAUGAAGAGCCACAGCCAGACAGGAAUUGGUGGAAACAAGUGGAAAAGAGAAGACUGAUCGACGUUGACCCUCCAGGAUGUGGAAAUGAGCAGCUACAGCCAGACAGGAAUGGUGGAAAUAAGUGGAAAAGACAAGACUGAUGGAUGUUGACCUUUCCAACAGCAAGAA
Molecule: long non-coding RNA, 860 nt
Organism: Saccostrea echinata
Lineage: Eukaryota; Metazoa; Mollusca; Bivalvia; Ostreida; Ostreidae
Exons: 3
Source: RefSeq, a predicted model, not a curated record